This 217-nucleotide ribosomal RNA is filed under the name Coenonympha arcania (pearly heath). Its description in RNAcentral is "partial 12S ribosomal RNA". The record is from RNAcentral. Lineage: Eukaryota; Metazoa; Arthropoda; Insecta; Lepidoptera; Nymphalidae.
AUAUUCUGAAAUAAUUUAAUUUAAUUUUUGUAUAACCGCAACUGCUGGCACAAAAUUAGUUAUUAAUCUAUAUAUUACUAAAUCUUAAUUUCUUAAAUUUUUAAUUUUAAUUACUACAUUUAUGUAUCAAUUAUUAUUUAAAUAAUUGAAAUUACAUACUAAAAUUUAUAUGUAAAAUAAAUUUAAAAUAAAUUUUUUAAAACAUAAUUAUUUUAUU